UGACGUCAAGUCAGCAUGGCCUUUAUGUCCUGGGCUACACACACGCUACAAUGGCCAACACAAUAGGUUGCUAAGCCGCGAGGUGGAGCCAAUCCUCAAAGUUGGUCUCAGUUCAGAUUGCAGGCUGCAACCCGCCUGCAUGAAGAUGGAGUUGCUAGUAACCGCAGGUCAGCUAUACUGCGGUGAAUACGUUCCCGGGGCUU
Molecule: ribosomal RNA, 203 nt
Filed under: uncultured Leptolinea sp.
Lineage: Bacteria; Bacillati; Chloroflexota; Anaerolineae; Anaerolineales; Anaerolineaceae
Description: partial 16S ribosomal RNA
Rfam family: Bacterial small subunit ribosomal RNA
Source: RNAcentral